AUGAACGCUGGCGGCGUGCCUAAUACAUGCAAGUCGAGCGAACAGACGAGGAGCUUGCUCCUCUGACGUUAGCGGCGGACGGGUGAGUAACACGUGGAUAACCUACCUAUAAGACUGGGAUAACUUCGGGAAACCGGAGCUAAUACCGGAUAAUAUAUUGAACCGCAUGGUUCAAUAGUGAAAGACGGUUUUGCUGUCACUUAUAGAUGGAUCCGCGCCGCAUUAGCUAGUUGGUAAGGUAACGGCUUACCAAGGCAACGAUGCGUAGCCGACCUGAGAGGGUGAUCGGCCACACUGGAACUGAGACACGGUCCAGACUCCUACGGGAGGCAGCAGUAGGGAAUCUUCCGCAAUGGGCGAAAGCCUGACGGAGCAACGCCGCGUGAGUGAUGAAGGUCUUCGGAUCGUGAAACUCUGUUAUUAGGGAAGAACAAAUGUGUAAGUAACUAUGCACGUCUUGACGGUACCUAAUCAGAAAGCCACGGCUAACUACGUG
Molecule: ribosomal RNA, 496 nt
Filed under: uncultured bacterium
Lineage: Bacteria
Description: partial 16S ribosomal RNA
Rfam family: Bacterial small subunit ribosomal RNA
Source: RNAcentral